GACGAACGCUGGCGGCGUGCUUAACACAUGCAAGUCGAACGAUGAACCACUUCGGUGGGGAUUAGUGGCGAACGGGUGAGUAACACGUGGGCAAUCUGCCCUGCACUCUGGGACAAGCCCUGGAAACGGGGUCUAAUACCGGAUACCACCAUCGCAGGCAUCUGUGGUGGUUGAAAGCUCCGGCGGUGCAGGAUGAGCCCGCGGCCUAUCAGCUUGUUGGUGAGGAGAAGCUCACCAAGGCGACGACGGGUAGCCGGCCUGAGAGGGCGACCGGCCACACUGGGACUGAGACACGGCCCAGACUCCUACGGGAGGCAGCAGUGGGGAAUAUUGCACAAUGGGCGAAAGCCUGAUGCAGCGACGCCGCGUGAGGGAUGACGGCCU
This 384-nucleotide ribosomal RNA is filed under the name uncultured bacterium. RNAcentral describes it as "bacterial SSU rRNA". It matches the Rfam family "Bacterial small subunit ribosomal RNA", at positions 28 to 417 of the family's 1533-position model. The record is from RNAcentral.